CCUACGGGUGGCAGCAGUCGAGAAUCAUUCACAAUGGGGGAAACCCUGAUGGUGCGACGCCGCGUGGGGGAAUGAAGGUCUUCGGGUUGUAAACCCCUGUCAUGUGGGAGCAAAUUAAAAAGAUAGUACCACACGAGGAAGAGACGGCUAACUCUGUGCCAGCAGCCGCGGGAAUACAGAGGUCUCAAGCGUUGUACGGAACCACUGGGCGUAAAGCGUGCGGGGGCUGUUUCGUAAGUCGUGUGUGAAAGGCGCGGGCUCAACCCGCGGACGGCACAUGAUACUGCGAGACUAGAGUACUGUAGGGGGAACCGGAAUUCUCGGUGUAGCAGUGAAAUGCGUAGAUAUCGAGAGGAACACUCGUGGCGAAGGCGGGUUACUGGACAGUAACUGACGCUGAGGCACGAAGGCCAGGGGAGCGAAAGGGAUUAGAUACCCCAGUAGUC
RNAcentral lists this ribosomal RNA (446 nucleotides) under uncultured bacterium. Its description in RNAcentral is "partial 16S ribosomal RNA". It matches the Rfam family "Bacterial small subunit ribosomal RNA", at positions 338 to 795 of the family's 1533-position model. The record is from RNAcentral.